CCGUACUAGAUGGGGAACUAGCGGUUCCUUGUAACCUGCAAUCCGCUGUAGCAGGAUCGAAUACCUACACUGAGGUGCCAAUUUGUCGAGUUUGCCGCAGGAAAGUGGCGUUGACGAUUGGGUCUUGCGCAACGAAAGCUCUUGAACCGUGUCAGGUCUGGAAGGAAGCAGCACUAAGGGAUGUCUCUUCGUGUGCCGCAAGGUAGCCUGGUUUGAGCUAACUACUUGUGUACCAUCGGGAGGUUGUCUUCGAAGGUAGGGUGCGG
This 266-nucleotide signal recognition particle RNA is filed under the name Tissierellia bacterium. Its description in RNAcentral is "signal recognition particle sRNA large type". It matches the Rfam family "Bacterial large signal recognition particle RNA". From Rfam's summary of the family: The signal recognition particle (SRP) is a universally conserved ribonucleoprotein involved in the co-translational targeting of proteins to membranes. Archaeal SRP consists of a 7S RNA and homologues of the eukaryotic SRP19 and SRP54 proteins. Lineage: Bacteria; Bacillati; Bacillota; Tissierellia. The record is from RNAcentral.